GCUCGCCACUAGAGGCACUAAGGCCGACAACGAGCUCCAGCCGCCUAAGCGGGCCUGAGGUUGCCUAGUUACUGCCCAGGGAAGGAGGAAGAGGUGCUAAAAGCCUGCAGACGCUCUGGCAACCCCUGUAAAACUCUGUGGUGGCGUUGGCGUCCCAUAGCGCCGGAGUUGCUUACCCUUCCUGUGAGAGCGAUCGGACCCUUUCCGGUAUGUGACAUAAUUGUCCCUGUGCUCACUUAACUAUUGAUUUGGAUGAAGUUAGGAGAUUAAACCCCCACAAAUUUACAGACGUUUAAGGGGAGAGCACAAACACAGUCCCUCCACUACCACAAAUUAUGCAGUCAAGUUUCCCGUCCGUGGAGAAAUGGCAGGGGUCAGCACAUCUCAAGUGCAAUGAAUGAGUCUAGCCCUGGAAAGACCACCUUAGUGAUCAUGGUAUCUCUCCUGCCAG
Mesocricetus auratus (golden hamster) is the source of this 451-nucleotide long non-coding RNA. RefSeq lists it as uncharacterized. Lineage: Eukaryota; Metazoa; Chordata; Mammalia; Rodentia; Cricetidae. The transcript has 3 exons. The record is from RefSeq and is a predicted model, not a curated record.